UGUUUGGAUUAUAUAUGCAUGUAGUGUAAUAUCCCCCACCACAACUUGAGGUGGGAUGAGCAGUCUCAGUUCUGCGGCUAAUUCUAGUGCCUUAAGGCGCUAAUAUUAGCGCUAAUGCUAGCGCCUUAAGGCUAGCGCCUUAAGGCUAGCGAGCAAGGCUCUUGUUUACAUCCGGGUUCCGCUGGCUCAGAGCCUUUCUCUCUAUGGCUCUGCGUUGGCUACCAGCACAGACAUGUAUACGUAGACCAAAAGUUAUGAUCGGUGUUCAAUCAUAACUUUUGGAAGAACAUCUCAAACUGGCCACAGAUGCAUGAAUGAAAGUAGUGGUGGUCAAAGGUUUUCUUUGGGUUUAUGCGAACCAGCAAGUCAGGAAGUGGAGCGGAUUGACCAUCUGACAACAACUUCCCUCGGUCACAGCAGUGUCAGACAUUGGUGGGAGGACUGUGGAUGAGGCCACAAGACGUAUGAUGUUCUUCAUCAUGGACUAUGGCCUGUCAAGGCAGUACAACUUUGUGGGCUGGAAUGGAAAGUAGGAAUUCAGGACUUUAAAUCUGUUUGAAGUCAUAUUUGAAGCUUUAAAGAACAACACAUUAACCAGACAGAUCACCAGGAAGGAUUUGGAGAGGGCAGUGUCGAAAUGGCUGAUCGGAUCAAGGGACAGGGGAUGCAAUAGAAAGGUCCAACAGGUCCCUCCUUCCCAUAUGAUGGACCAUGUUUUUUGUGUUCCAUGUUCUUUUUUGAUAUAUAACUAGUUUCUUAAAUUGUUAUAAUGGUUAUUAUAUUACGUAUAAUAUCGUAUGUGUGUGUGUGUGUAUUAUGUACCUGAUACGUAAAAUACAAUCUAUUAUAUCUAUUAUCUAUUAUAAGUAAGGCAGCAUUGGAGGAAUCUUUAGAACCUGCACAGUGUUUGAACUGUUUAGAAGCAGUAGAGCUUUCUGAGCUAUCUAAAAUCUUAG
This is a long non-coding RNA of Fundulus heteroclitus (mummichog), 956 nucleotides long. RefSeq lists it as uncharacterized. The record is from RefSeq and is a predicted model, not a curated record. The transcript has 3 exons. Lineage: Eukaryota; Metazoa; Chordata; Actinopteri; Cyprinodontiformes; Fundulidae.